This 609-nucleotide ribosomal RNA is filed under the name Stenotrophomonas maltophilia. Its description in RNAcentral is "bacterial SSU rRNA". It matches the Rfam family "Bacterial small subunit ribosomal RNA", at positions 30 to 629 of the family's 1533-position model. Lineage: Bacteria; Pseudomonadati; Pseudomonadota; Gammaproteobacteria; Lysobacterales; Lysobacteraceae. The record is from RNAcentral.
UGAACGCUGGCGGNAGGCCUAACACAUGCAAGUCGAACGGCAGCACAAAGGAGCUUGCUCCUUGGGUGGCGAGUGGCGGACGGGUGAGGAAUACAUCGGAAUCUACUCUGUCGNGGGGGAUAACNNNNGGAAACUUACGCUAAUACCGCAUACNACCUACGGNUGAAAGNNGGGGAUCUUCGGACCUUGCGCGAUUGAAUGAGCCGAUGUCGGAUUAGCUAGUUGGCGGGGUAAAGGCCCACCAAGGCGACGAUCCGUAGCUGGUCUGAGAGGAUGAUCAGCCACACUGGAACUGAGACACGGUCCAGACUCCUACGGGAGGCAGCAGUGGGGAAUAUUGGACAAUGGGCGCAAGCCUGAUCCAGCCAUACCGCGUGGGUGAAGAAGGCCUUCGGGUUGUAAAGCCCUUUUGUUGGGAAAGAAAUCCAUCUGGCUAAUACCCGGUUGGGAUGACGGUACCCAAAGAAUAAGCACCGGCUAACUUCGUGCCAGCAGCCGCGGUAAUACGAAGGGUGCAAGCGUUACUCGGAAUUACUGGGCGUAAAGCGUGCGUAGGUGGUCGUUAAGUCCGAUGUGAAAGCCCUGGGCUCAACCUGGGAACUGCAUCUG